UGCGUAGGUGGCUGAGCAAGUCGUGGAUGAAAUCCCCGGGCUUAACCUGGGAACUGUCCCCGAAACUGCUCAGCUUGAGGGAUGGUUGAGGAAAGCGGAAUUCCCGGUGGAGCGGUGAAAUGCGUAGAUAUCGGGAGGAACACCAGAGGCGAAGGCGGCUUUCUGGGCCAUUCCUGACACUCAUGCACGAAAGCUAGGGGAGCGAACG
RNAcentral lists this ribosomal RNA (208 nucleotides) under uncultured bacterium. RNAcentral describes it as "partial 16S ribosomal RNA". It matches the Rfam family "Bacterial small subunit ribosomal RNA", at positions 568 to 774 of the family's 1533-position model. The record is from RNAcentral.